This 496-nucleotide ribosomal RNA is filed under the name uncultured bacterium. Its description in RNAcentral is "partial 16S ribosomal RNA". It matches the Rfam family "Bacterial small subunit ribosomal RNA", at positions 29 to 507 of the family's 1533-position model. The record is from RNAcentral.
AUGAACGCUGGCGGCGUGCCUAAUCCCUGCCAGUCGAGCGAACAGACGAGGAGCUUGCUCCUCUGACGUUAGCGGCGGACGGGUGAGUAACACGUGGAUAACCUACCUAUAAGACUGGGAUAACUUCGGGAAACCGGAGCUAAUACCGGAUAAUAUAUUGAACCGCAUGGUUCAAUAGUGAAAGACGGUUUUGCUGUCACUUAUAGAUGGAUCCGCGCCGCAUUAGCUAGUUGGUAAGGUAACGGCUUACCAAGGCAGCGAUGCGUAGCCGACCUGAGAGGGUGAUCGGCCACACUGGAACUGAGACACGGUCCAGACUCCUACGGGAGGCAGCAGUAGGGAAUCUUCCGCAAAGGGCGAAAGCUUGACGGAGCAACGCCGCGUGAGUGAUGAAGGUCUUCGGAUCGUAAAACUCUGUUAUUAGGGAAGAACAAAUGUGUAAGUAACUAUGCACGUCUUGACGGUACCUAAUCAGAAAGCCACGGCUAACUACGUG